GGUAGCGUGGCCGAGCGGUCCAAGGCGCUGGUUUAAGGCACCAGUCCCUUCGGGGGUAUGGGUUCGAAUCCCAUCGCUGCCA
This 82-nucleotide transfer RNA is filed under the name Daphnia pulex (common water flea). RNAcentral describes it as "tRNA-Leu". It matches the Rfam family "tRNA". Rfam says of the family: Transfer RNA (tRNA) molecules are approximately 80 nucleotides in length. Their secondary structure includes four short double-helical elements and three loops (D, anti-codon, and T loops). Lineage: Eukaryota; Metazoa; Arthropoda; Branchiopoda; Diplostraca; Daphniidae. The record is from RNAcentral.